CAACCUGCCCACCACUUGGGGAUAACCUUGCGAAAGUAAGACUAAUACCCAAUGAUAUCUCUAGAAGACAUCUGAAAGAGAUUAAAGAUUUAUCGGUGAUGGAUGGGGAUGCGUCUGAUUAGCUUGUUGGCGGGGUAACGGCCCACCAAGGCGACGAUCAGUAGGGGUUCUGAGAGGAAGGUCCCCCACAUUGGAACUGAGACACGGUCCAAACUCCUACGGGAGGCAGCAGUGAGGAAUAUUGGUCAAUGGACGAGAGUCUGAACCAGCCAAGUAGCGUGCAGGAAGACGGCCCUAUGGGUUGUAAACUGCUUUUAUAAGGGAAUAAAGUGAGUCUCGUGAGACUUUUUGCAUGUACCUUAUGAAUAAGGACCGGCUAAUUCCGUGCCAGCAGCCGCGAUAAUACGGAAGGUCCGGGCGUUAUCCGGAUUUAUUGGGUUUAAAGGGAGCGUAGGCCGGAGAUUAAGCGUGUUGUGAAAUGUAGACGCUCAACGUCUGCACUGCAGCGCGAACUGGUUUCCUUGAGUACGCACAAAGUGGGCGGAAUUCGUGGUGUAGCGGUGAAAUGCUUAGAUAUCACGAAGAACUCCGAUUG
RNAcentral lists this ribosomal RNA (595 nucleotides) under uncultured Bacteroidota bacterium. RNAcentral's name for it is "bacterial SSU rRNA". It matches the Rfam family "Bacterial small subunit ribosomal RNA", at positions 122 to 715 of the family's 1533-position model. The record is from RNAcentral. Lineage: Bacteria; Pseudomonadati; Bacteroidota.